AGAGUUUGAUCCUGGCUCAGAUUGAACGCUGGCGGCAGGCCUAACACAUGCAAGUCGAGCGGAAACGGCAGUAUUGAAGCUUCGGUGGAUUUACUGGACGUCGAGCGGCGGACGGGUGAGUAACGGCUGGGAACCUGCCCUGACGAGGGGGAUAACCGUUGGAAACGACGGCUAAUACCGCAUAAUGUCUUAGUUCAUUACGAGCUGGGACCAAAGGUGGCCUCUACAUGUAAGCUAUCGCGUUGGGAUGGGCCCAGUUAGGAUUAGCUAGUUGGUAAGGUAAUGGCUUACCAAGGCAACGAUCCUUAGCUGGUUUGAGAGGAUGAUCAGCCACACUGGGACUGAGACACGGCCCAGACUCCUACGGGAGGCAGCAGUGGGGAAUAUUGCACAAUGGGGGAGACCCUGAUGCAGCUAUGCCGCGUGUGUGAAGAAGGCCUUCGGGUUGUAAAGCACUUUCAGCAGUGAGGAAGGUUGUGUACUUAAUACGUGCACGGCUUGACGUUAGCUGCAGAAGAAGCACCGGCUAACUCCGUGCCAGCAGCCGCGGUAAUACGGAGGGUGCGAGCGUUAAUCGGAAUUACUGGGCGUAAAGCGCAUGCAGGCGGUUUGUUAAGUCAGAUGUGAAAGCCCGGGGCUCAACCUCGGAACCGCAUUUGAAACUGGCAGGCUAGAGUCUUGUAGAGGGGGGUAGAAUUUCAGGUGUAGCGGUGAAAUGCGUAGAGAUCUGAAGGAAUACCAGUGGCGAAGGCGGCCCCCUGGACAAAGACUGACGCUCAGAUGCGAAAGCGUGGGUAGCAAACAGGAUUAGAUACCCUGGUAGUCCACGCCGUAAACGCUGUCUACUUGGAGGUUGAGGUUUUAGACUUUGGCUUUCGGCGCUAACGCAUUAAGUAGACCGCCUGGGGAGUACGGCCGCAAGGUUAAAACUCAAAUGAAUUGACGGGGGCCCGCACAAGCGGUGGAGCAUGUGGUUUAAUUCGAUGCAACGCGAAGAACCUUACCUACUCUUGACAUCCAGCGAAGCCUUUAGAGAUAGAGGCGUGCCUUCGGGAGCGCUGAGACAGGUGCUGCAUGGCUGUCGUCAGCUCGUGUUGUGAAAUGUUGGGUUAAGUCCCGCAACGAGCGCAACCCUUAUCCUUGUUUGCCAGCACGUAAUGGUGGGAACUCCAGGGAGACUGCCGGUGAUAAACCGGAGGAAGGUGGGGACGACGUCAAGUCAUCAUGGCCCUUACGAGUAGGGCUACACACGUGCUACAAUGGCAGAUACAGAGGGCAGCGAGACAGCGAUGUUUAGCGAAUCCCUUAAAGUUUGUCGUAGUCCGGAUUGGAGUCUGCAACUCGACUCCAUGAAGUCGGAAUCGCUAGUAAUCGUGGAUCAGAAUGCCACGGUGAAUACGUUCCCGGGCCUUGUACACACCGCCCGUCACACCAUGGGAGUGGGCUGCACCAGAAGUAGAUAGCUUAACCUUCGGGAGGGCGUUUACCACGGUGUGGUUCAUGACUGGGGUGAAGUCGUAACAAGGUAACC
Molecule: ribosomal RNA, 1531 nt
Filed under: Salinivibrio sp. FAM 10
Lineage: Bacteria; Pseudomonadati; Pseudomonadota; Gammaproteobacteria; Vibrionales; Vibrionaceae
Also listed under: 1 other name
Description: bacterial SSU rRNA
Rfam family: Bacterial small subunit ribosomal RNA
Source: RNAcentral